Molecule: ribosomal RNA, 253 nt
Filed under: uncultured bacterium
Lineage: Bacteria
Description: partial 16S ribosomal RNA
Rfam family: Bacterial small subunit ribosomal RNA
Source: RNAcentral
UACGGGGGGGGCAAGCGUUGUUCGGAAUUACUGGGCGUAAAGGGCUCGUAGGCGGCCAACUAAGUCAGACGUGAAAUCCCUCGGCUUAACCGGGGAACUGCGUCUGAUACUGGAUGGCUAGAGAUUGGGAGAGGGAUGCGGAAUUCCAGGUGUAGCGGUGAAAUGCGUAGAUAUCUGGAGGAACACCGGUGGCGAAGGCGGCAUCCUGGACCAAUUCUGACGCUGAGGAGCGAAAGCCAGGGGAGCAAACGGG